UACGUAGUUGGCAAGCGUGGUCCGGAAUUAUUGGGCGUAAAGCGCGCGCAGGUGGGUCGUUAAGUCUGAUGUGAAAGCCCCCGGCUCAACCGGGGAGGGUCAUUGGAAACUGGGGAACUUGAGUGCAGGAGAGGAAAGUGGAAUUCCACGUGUAGCGGUGAAAUGCGUAGAUGUGUGGAGGAACACCAGUGGCGAAGGCGACUCUCUGGUCUGUAACUGACGCUGAGGCGCGAAAGCGUGGGGAGCAAACAGG
This 253-nucleotide unclassified non-coding RNA is filed under the name uncultured Bacillaceae bacterium. RNAcentral describes it as "contains 16S-23S intergenic spacer region". It matches the Rfam family "Bacterial small subunit ribosomal RNA", at positions 524 to 776 of the family's 1533-position model. The record is from RNAcentral. Lineage: Bacteria; Bacillati; Bacillota; Bacilli; Caryophanales; Bacillaceae.